Molecule: ribosomal RNA, 494 nt
Filed under: uncultured bacterium
Lineage: Bacteria
Description: partial 16S ribosomal RNA
Rfam family: Bacterial small subunit ribosomal RNA
Source: RNAcentral
GACGAACGCUGGCGGCGUGCUUAACACAUGCAAGUCGAACGGUGAAGCGCCUUCCUUUUUGGUGGGUGUGGAUGAGUGGCGAACGGGUGAGUAACACGUGAGUAACCUGCCCCCUUCUUCUGGAUAACCGCAUGAAAGUGUGGCUAAUACGGGAUAUUCUGGGUCUGUCGCAUGAUGGGUCUGGGAAAGAUAUUGUUUCGGUGGGGGAUGGGCUCGCGGCCUAUCAGCUUGUUGGUGGGGUGAUGGCCUACCAAGGCGGUGACGGGUAGCCGGCCUGAGAGGGUGGACGGUCACACUGGGACUGGGACACGGCCCAGACUCCUACGGGAGGCAGCAGUGGGGAAUAUUGCACAAUGGGCGCAAGCCUGAUGCAGCGACACCGCGUGAGGGAUGGAGGCCUUCGGGUUGUGAACCUCUUUCGCCAGUGAAGCAGGCCUGCCUCGUUUGUGGGUGGGUUGACGGUAGCUGGAUAAGAAGCGCCGGCUAACUACGUG